AGCUCUUAACUCAUUCGCUCCCGAAGACGUUUUUAAACGUCUUUUCAAACUUGGUCCAGAAUUGGCUGGUACUGAUUGAGAUGAACAGGACACAGAU
Hippocampus comes (tiger tail seahorse) is the source of this 97-nucleotide long non-coding RNA. RefSeq lists it as uncharacterized. The record is from RefSeq and is a predicted model, not a curated record. NCBI's taxonomy places the organism in Eukaryota, Metazoa, Chordata, Actinopteri, Syngnathiformes, Syngnathidae. The transcript is spliced from 3 exons.